AAUAUGUCUUUGGGGAGCUAGAUAAGGCUGGCUGAGAAAAAGACCCGUUUUUAAGUCUUUGACCCUUAUACCUGAUCUGGAUAAUACCAGCGUAGGAAAUAUUUACCACGAGUC
This 114-nucleotide non-coding RNA is filed under the name Gottschalkia purinilytica. RNAcentral describes it as "Clostridium purinilyticum TPP sequence". It matches the Rfam family "TPP riboswitch aptamer (THI element)". From Rfam's summary of the family: Vitamin B(1) in its active form thiamin pyrophosphate (TPP) is an essential coenzyme that is synthesised by coupling of pyrimidine and thiazole moieties in bacteria. The previously detected thiamin-regulatory element, thi box was extended, resulting in a new, highly conserved RNA secondary structure, the THI element, which is widely distributed in eubacteria and also occurs in some archaea. The record is from Rfam by way of RNAcentral. Lineage: Bacteria; Bacillati; Bacillota; Tissierellia; Tissierellales; Gottschalkiaceae.